Molecule: ribosomal RNA, 1034 nt
Filed under: uncultured archaeon
Lineage: Archaea
Description: bacterial SSU rRNA
Rfam family: Archaeal small subunit ribosomal RNA
Source: RNAcentral
CCUACGGGGCGCAGCAGGCGCGAAACCUCCGCAAUGCGGGCAACCGCGACGGGGUUAGCCGGAGUGCCCGUGCAUCGCACGGGCUGUCGGGGUGCCUAAACAGCACCCCAUAGCAAGGGCCGGGCAAGGCCGGUGGCAGCCGCCGCGGUAAGACCGGCGGCCCGAGUGGCGGCCACUCUUAUUGGGCCUAAAGCGUCCGUAGCCGGCCCAGUAAGUCCCCCGGGAAAUCUGGUCGCUUAACGAUCAGACUUCCGGGGGAUACUGCUGGGCUAGGGACCGGGAGAGGCCGAGGGUAUUCCCGGGGUAGGGGUGAAAUCCUGUAAUCCCGGGAGGACCACCUGUGGCGAAGGCGCUCGGCUGGAACGGGUCCGACGGUGAGGGACGAAGGCCUGGGGAGCGAACCGGAUUAGAUACCCGGGUAGUCCAGGCUGUAAACGAUGCGGGCUAGGUGUCACCGGAGCUACGAGCUCCGGUGGUGCCGGAGGGAAGCCGUUAAGCCCGCCGCCUGGGAAGUACGGCCGCAAGGCUGAAACUUAAAGGAAUUGGCGGGGGAGCACUACAACGGGUGGAGCCUGCGGUUUAAUUGGAUUCAACGCCGGGAAGCUUACCGGGGGAGACAGCGGGAUGAAGGUCGGGCUGAAGACCUUACCAGACUAGCUGAGAGGUGGUGCAUGGCCGCCGUCAGUUCGUACUGUGAAGCAUCCUGUUAAGUCAGGCAACGAGCGAGACCCGCGCCCUCAGUUGCCAGCGGGUCCCUUCGGGGAUGCCGGGCACACUGAGGGGACUGCCGGCGCUAAGCCGGAGGAAGGUGCGGGCAACGGCAGGUCCGUAUGCCCCGAAUCCCCCGGGCUACACGCGGGCUACAAUGGCCGGGACAAUGGGUACCGACCCCGAAAGGGGUGGGUAAUCUCCUAAACCCGGUCUAACCUGGGAUCGAGGGCUGCAACUCGCCCUCGUGAACCUGGAAUCCGUAGUAAUCGCGCCUCAAAAUGGCGCGGUGAAUACGUCCCUGCUCCUUGCACUCACCGCCCGUC